RNAcentral lists this long non-coding RNA (530 nucleotides) under Fragaria vesca (wild strawberry). Its description in RNAcentral is "long non-coding RNA (FVES_LNC004543)". The record is from RNAcentral. Lineage: Eukaryota; Viridiplantae; Streptophyta; Magnoliopsida; Rosales; Rosaceae.
AAUUGCUCAAUCGCUCACUCCUCUCUUCUCUUAACGGUAAGCCCACUCUUCUUCUUUCCCAAUCGCUCUCUUUUCUUCUCUCUCAAUCACUCAGUCGUCUCAAUCGCUCACUCCUCUUUAUGGUUUCUUCAUCUCCUUUCUCUUCUCUCUUCGGUUUUGUAUAUUGAUUUAGGGCACUCUCUCCAGUCUCCGGCCACUCAUGAACGCCCCUUUUGCCAGACGUUAUCCAAGACGGCGGAGUUCGGGGUCUAGAAUGUCGAUGAUUUGAUGAACUCGGCUGCCCACUACGAUUUGGAUUCGAUUUGGUGAUUUCAGGGCCUUCUCAAUCCUUCUCCCUUUCAUUUUCUCUCGAGCUCUAUAUUCUCUCCUCUUUUCUGAUGCGAUUAGGUGGCUAAUGAUUUCUUGUUUCAUGGUGGAAGGCCAAGCUAGUCCAGGCGGUAGCGGUGAAUGAGGGUUGGGAGUGAGCGUCUUUAGCCUUUGAAGAACAUGUCAACUUCCAGAGAGGUAGUUUAUAUAUUUGAAUUGUUGCU